CCGGGUUAGGGGCGACGGGGGGAUUAACGCGUAUUCACCCUACCCUUAAAUUCGGGCACAAAAAUGGAGAAUAUAGGUUAUUUGCGGAUGUUUCCAGGAGAUUGAAAAUAUCAUGAUUAAAGAUUUAUCGCCUGGGGAAGGGGAUGCUUCCCUAUCAGGUAGUUGGCGGGAUUAAAGCCCCACCAAGCCUAUGACGGGUAGCCGGUCUGAGAGGAUGGUCGCCCGCAAUGGAACUGAGACACGGUCCAUACCCCUACGGGGGGCAGCAGUGGGGAAUCUUGGACAAUGGACGAAAGUCUGAUCCAGCAAUUCUGCGUGCGGGAUGAAGGUCUAUGGAUUGUAAACCGCUUUUCUGAAGGAAGACGAAUGACGGUACUUCAGGAACAAGCGACGGCUAACUUCGUGCCAGCAGCCGCGGUAAUACGAAGGUCGCAAGCGUUAUCCGGGGUUACUGGGCGUAAAGAGUGCGUAGAUGGUUUAGUAAGUCUGAUUUUAAAGACUCUGUCUCAAGCAGAGGAAGGGGUCAGAUACUGCUAUUCUGGAGAUAACUGGGGGUUAGUGGAAUUACCGGUGGAGGGGUGAAAUCCGUUGAUAUCGGUAGGAACGCCAAAAGCGAAAGCAACUAACUAUGGUUUUCUGACAUUCAAGCACGAAAGCUCGGGGAUCAAACGGGAUUAGAUACCCCGGUAGUCCGAGCCGUAAAUUAUGUCUGCUAAGUGUUUGGGCUUAUACCCCAAGUACUGUUACCUAACGGGUUAAGCAGAUCGCCUGGGUAGUAUACUCGCAAGAGUGAAACUCA
RNAcentral lists this ribosomal RNA (799 nucleotides) under uncultured candidate division SR1 bacterium. Its description in RNAcentral is "bacterial SSU rRNA". It matches the Rfam family "Bacterial small subunit ribosomal RNA", at positions 87 to 903 of the family's 1533-position model. Lineage: Bacteria; Candidatus Absconditibacteriota. The record is from RNAcentral.